RNAcentral lists this ribosomal RNA (300 nucleotides) under uncultured Salipiger sp. RNAcentral's name for it is "bacterial SSU rRNA". It matches the Rfam family "Bacterial small subunit ribosomal RNA", at positions 497 to 795 of the family's 1533-position model. The record is from RNAcentral. Lineage: Bacteria; Pseudomonadati; Pseudomonadota; Alphaproteobacteria; Rhodobacterales; Roseobacteraceae.
CGAAGCACGGGCACGCAGCGGGCGGAAUGAGUAGGGUGGAAGGGUUGUCCGGAUGUAUUGGGCGUAAAGAGCUCGGAGUGGGUUGGUCGCGUCGGAUUGUAAAACCCAAUGGCUUAACCUUGGGCCUGCAUUCGAUACGGGCAAACUAGAGUGUGGUAGGGGAGACUGGAACUCCUGGUGUAGCGGUGGAAUGCGCAGAUAUCAGGAAGAACACCGAUGGCGAAGGCAGGUCUCUGGGCCAUAACUGACGCUGAGGAGCGAAAGCGUGGGGAGCGAACAGGAUUAGAUACCCCGGUAGUC